Molecule: ribosomal RNA, 397 nt
Filed under: uncultured bacterium
Lineage: Bacteria
Description: partial 16S ribosomal RNA
Rfam family: Bacterial small subunit ribosomal RNA
Source: RNAcentral
AUACGUAGGGAGCGAGCGUUGUCCGGAAUUACUGGGUGUAAAGGGUGCGUAGGCGGGACUGCAAGUCAGAUGUGAAAUGCCGGGGCUCAACCCCGGAGCUGCAUUUGAAACUGUGGUUCUUGAGUGAGGUAGAGGUAAGCGGAAUUCCUAGUGUAGCGGUGAAAUGCGUAGAUAUUAGGAGGAACAUCGGUGGCGAAGGCGGCUUACUGGGCCUUUACUGACUCUGAGGCACGAAAGCGUGGGGAGCAAACAGGAUUAGAUACCCUGGUAGUCCACGCUGUAAACGAUGAAUGCUAGGUGUAAGAGGUAUCGACCCCUUUUGUGCCGGAGUCAACACAAUAAGCAUUCCGCCUGGGGAGUACGGCCGCAAGGUUGAAACUUAAAGGAAUUGACGGGG